ACGGGGUGCAGCAGGCGCGAAAACUUUACACUGCACGACAGUGCGAUAAGGGAACCCCAAGUGCGAGGGCAUACAGUCCUCGCUUUUCUGUACCGUAAGGAGGUACAAGAAUAAGGGCUGGGCAAGACCGGUGCCAGCCGCCGCGGUAAUACCGGCAGCUCAAGUGAUGACCGCUAUUAUUGGGCCUAAAGCGUCCGUAGCUGGCCGCACAGGUCCGUUGGGAAAUCUGCUCGCUUAACGAGCAGGCGUCCAACGGAAACCGUGCGGCUUGGGACCGGGAGGUCUGGAGGGUACGUCCGGGGUAGGAGUGAAAUCCUGUAAUCCUAGACGGACCACCGAUGGCGAAAGCACUCCAGAAGAACGGAUCCGACAGUGAGGGACGAAAGCUAGGGUCUCGAACCGGAUUAGAUACCCGGGUAGUCCUAGCUGUAAACGAUGCUCGCUAGGUGUGACACUGGCUACGAGCCAGUGUUGUGCCGUAGGGAAGCCGUGAAGCGAGCCGCCUGGGAAGUACGUCCGCAAGGAUGAAACUUAAAGGAAUUGGCGGGGGAGCAC
Molecule: ribosomal RNA, 555 nt
Filed under: uncultured archaeon
Lineage: Archaea
Description: bacterial SSU rRNA
Rfam family: Archaeal small subunit ribosomal RNA
Source: RNAcentral